This 1257-nucleotide small RNA is filed under the name Histoplasma capsulatum. RNAcentral's name for it is "hypothetical RNA". Lineage: Eukaryota; Fungi; Ascomycota; Eurotiomycetes; Onygenales; Ajellomycetaceae. The record is from RNAcentral. RNAcentral also lists the same sequence under 1 other name.
UUCUAUCCAUCUUUUCUUCUUCGGCCAUUAAACCUUGACUCUAUGGGUCGGUAUUUCCACGUUCUUUGACAAUCUUAGGAUUAUUUAUUAAGCAAUUUCAUCCUCUUUAAUCUGUGGUUGAAAGGGUUCUAAGGGCUUUCGCUUGUUAUUGCACAAUCAGCCCAACAAGCAUUGACGGAGUGCGAUGCAACCACUGCAGUCAAAUGAACAUGUUUAUACAGUAGGCCAUGUUGCCUUUACCCUGCCUGAGCCAAACCCCCAACCUGCUCACUUACCAGGGUAGUCACCUAUAAUUGAGAGAUUGCAUUAUAUCACAAAUAGUGACUUUAGCAGGGGGUAACUGUUUUAUACAGACCCUGUCAAAUCUACACCGCCAGAUUGAACUAGUUGGAAGCCCUCCCUCUCGAGAAUCGCCAAAGAAUUUCGUCAGUUGAAAGAUGCUUACUGUCUAGCCUGUUGCUAUGUUGGAGGGUAUACCCACUCAAUAGUAAGUUUCUGUGUGGCUAACGGAUCACAAUUCUCUUUCAUUUAAAUUUCGUCAAAUAUCCCGUGCCAGUGUUUAUCUGCAAAUUCAUUUAGUAUGCUUCUUUUCUUCUUCUGGGUGUAGGCGGUGCACACCCUGAUGGUUGAUGACAUCUAUUCAAGUGAAGCAAGCAACAACUCCUUGUUGGGUCAUGGAACUAACAUAACUUCCCGUGGGAAAUCUUGAGCUAAUUAUCUUCCAGACUUGCUGAUGGUUGCUCAUCUACCUCAUAACAUGGAUGUUAACCCAAUGUAUUGCUGUUUGUCCUUCAUCCAACACCAUCUAGCGUCAUACAUAAGCGCCCAAGUUGACCCACAUACGCACAGGCCACAAUAGUUACCCCCCCCAGGCGCUUAAAUUCCUCCAGGCCCGGAGGGUUAUUUUUAGAAUCUCUUGGGUGGGAGGGCGGUGGGUGACUUCUACGGCACCUUUGGAAGACCUAUUCUUCUUCUUUUCUAAGUCAAGACAAUGUAUGAAUUGGAUGUGCAUUGUACUGUGUUGGUGGAACUAGUUAUCCCUGUGGGCGCCAAUGAUUCCCUGUAAAUACUGGACGAGGUUGAUUGGACACGCACAAGGGGGAGUGUGCAUAUUCUGAAAUUGUUUGGCUUGGUUUGUUUGCAUGGCCAAAACAGCAGUUCUUCAUGGAUUAGCUUGAUGCGCUAUGGAAGAUGUUAUGCAUUCGAGACCUCGUCUUGUUUCAAUAAACUGUGACAAGAAUAAUAUGCAAUUUUGAC